CUACGGGAGGCAGCAGUGGGGAAUAUUGCACAAUGGGGGAAACCCUGAUGCAGCAACGCCGCGUGAGUGAUGACGGUCUUCGGAUUGUAAAGCUCUGUCUUCAGGGACGAUAAUGACGGUACCUGAGGAGGAAGCCACGGCUAACUACGUGCCAGCAGCCGCGGUAAUACGUAGGUGGCAAGCGUUGUCCGGAUUUACUGGGCGUAAAGGGAGCGUAGGUGGAUAUUUAAGUGGGAUGUGAAAUACUCGGGCUUAACCUGGGUGCUGCAUUCCAAACUGGAUAUCUAGAGUGCAGGAGAGGAAAGUAGAAUUCCUAGUGUAGCGGUGAAAUGCGUAGAGAUUAGGAAGAAUACCAGUGGCGAAGGCGACUUUCUGGACUGUAACUGACACUGAGGCUCGAAAGCGUGGGGAGCAAACAGGAUUAGAUACCCCGGUAGC
RNAcentral lists this ribosomal RNA (438 nucleotides) under uncultured bacterium. RNAcentral's name for it is "bacterial SSU rRNA". It matches the Rfam family "Bacterial small subunit ribosomal RNA", at positions 339 to 794 of the family's 1533-position model. The record is from RNAcentral.